This is an RNA transcript of Juglans microcarpa x Juglans regia, 3153 nucleotides long. It is a transcript of the gene named protein IMPAIRED IN BABA-INDUCED STERILITY 1, with no coding region annotated. The transcript has 8 exons. Lineage: Eukaryota; Viridiplantae; Streptophyta; Magnoliopsida; Fagales; Juglandaceae. The record is from RefSeq and is a predicted model, not a curated record.
GCAAAAAGGUUCCUACUAUUCCCCUCCUUCCCGUCCCAUGCAUUCUCGUCUCUCGACAGUCUGACAGACAACGUUGAAAAGAAGCCUCUAUCAAUAGUUAAAGGUUUGAACUUUACAUUCGAAAAUACCCAAAAACAAAACAAAAUACAUAGUUACUAUAAUUUUUCCUAUGCUUUCUUCUCUCCGUUGAUUCCGCAAACUCGGUUUGUUUGUUUUGUUUUGAAAGCCGCAUUAACAAUACAAAAAUCAAACCAAAAAACAAAAUCUUCUUUAUCCGCCAUCUACCGCAAUUGUCGCGGAACUGAGCAAAGAGAAGCUAAAGCGAGUGGGAGAGAGAAAGGCAGAGAGGGUGGACUGCGAGAAAGUGAAAAGACGACAAUGAAAAGCAUUCCCAUUUUGGAACUUAUGGUUUGUUCUACAGAUUUAUAUAUAAUUAUAACCCAUUUUUGCUUCCCAUCCUCUGUUCUUUGUCCUUCAGUCCUCGCUUAAUUGACUCGGGUCCAGGGAUUUCGAUUCUUCUGAGUCCCCUAUGCUUUCUGGUCAGCGGUCGUGGUGGUUUUAGCGGGGUGUUAUGGGUUGCGUGAGCUCGAAGCAAGCGGUGUCGGUGACGCCGGCUUUGGACCAUUCUGGCGCGUUCCGGGACAGCGGCGUCGGUGCGGGGAAUUCGGGUCGUAUCCGGGUCGGCUCGGGGGAGAAUGAGAAGGGGAAGUCUAGUAACAGGAAGAAGAGUGGCGAGUCAGUGGUGGUGGUGGGACUGAGCGGGAGCGAGUUGGGUGAGUCCGGGAGAGCGAGUUCCAAUGGGAACGACUCGUCGUUAAGCUUCAGAUUGGGGAAUUUGCAAAAGUACGUGGAGGGGGAGCAGGUGGCUGCUGGCUGGCCUGCUUGGCUCAGCGCCGUCGCCGGCGAAGCCAUUCAGGGCUGGAUUCCUCUACGAGCCGAUGCCUUCGAAAAAUUAGAAAAGAUCGGACAGGGUACAUAUAGCAGCGUGUUCCGAGCACGUGAAACAGAAACUGGCAGGAUAGUUGCUCUGAAGAAGGUGCGGUUUGACAAUUUUGAGCCCGAGAGUGUUCGGUUUAUGGCCAGAGAAAUUACAAUUCUACGCAGGCUUGACCAUCCGAACAUCAUAAAACUGGAGGGUAUAAUUACUUCCCGAUUGUCAUGUAGCAUAUACCUUGUAUUCGAGUACAUGGAACAUGAUAUUACUGGACUCUUAUCUUGCCCAGACAUCAAGUUCAGUGAGUCACAGAUCAAAUGCUAUGUGAAGCAGUUGUUAUCUGGAAUUGAGCACUGCCACUCAAGGGGAGUAAUGCACCGGGAUAUUAAAGGAUCAAAUCUGUUGGUUAAUAAUGAUGGAAUUUUGAAGGUGGCUGAUUUUGGAUUGGCAAAUUUUUAUAGUUCUGGGCAUAGGCAACCCCUAACCAGUCGCGUUGUCACCUUGUGGUACCGUCCUCCUGAACUUCUUCUCGGAUCGACUGAUUAUGGAGCAUCUGUGGAUCUUUGGAGUGUUGGCUGUGUAUUUGCAGAACUAAUACUAGGAAAACCGAUCCUUCAAGGGAGAACAGAGGUUGAGCAACUACACAAAAUUUUCAAGCUUUGUGGAUCUCCACCUGAUGACUACUGGAAGAGAACCAAACUUCCUCAUGCAACAUUAUUCAAACCACAGCAACCUUAUGAUAGUUCUCUUCGUGAGACCUUUAAAAAUUUACCUAAAACCACCAUAAGCCUGCUGGAAACUCUUCUGUCCGUAGAACCAUACAAACGAGGGACAGCUUUCUCUGCUCUAGCAUCUGAGUACUUCACAUCAAAGCCUUAUGCAUGUGAUCCAUCAAGCUUGCCAAUAUACCCACCCAGCAAGGAGAUUGAUGCAAAAAGUCGUGAGGAGGCAAAGAGGAAAAAGAUUGGUGGGAGAGUUCGUGGACCUGAAAUAACAAGAAAGCCUGCAAGAAAACCCUAUGGAAUCUGUAAAUUGGCACCAGGAGAGGAGAUGGCAAAUCAGACUCAGGAUUCUCAUAAGAUUAAGGUUAGCAAUGGAGAUAUUCUCAGAGAUGUAAAUUCUGCUAUAGAAGGCAUGGCACGAAAGCCAUCAGUUGAUAACAUUGAAGAGGCUUCCCAUGUAAAGAAUGCAUCUCAAGGUGACGUUCCCUUUUCCAUCCCCUUACAAGUUUCUACAUCAAGUGGUUUUGCAUGGGCAAAAAGGAGAAAAGAGGAUGCAUCCGUAAGAUCACACAGUAGGUCUAUUUCAAGAGGACACAUUGGCAGUAUUGUAGAACCUACUACUGCAUUGCAUGCCAGGAACAAUGUUGACUCUAGAAGGCACGAAAAUGGGGAUGCAUAUGGGACCCGCUCAUAUUGUAGAGGCCAUGAUUCCUAUGAGAUUGUCAAGCUUGCAAUGCAGAAUAAUUGGUGCAAGUUUGAGCGUCCAGACUCAUUUGAUGCUUCUGAUGAGUACCACUCUCAGGAACUGUCGUUGGCACAAUAUGAAAGAGAGAUGUCAGCUAAAAGAAGCAAUCUGGUAAGUUUGUAACUUUUAGAACCAGAUGUGGUAUGAAUUGUUUCAGUUACAAUACAUACCCUCCUGUUUCUUCUUUGGUAAGUUUCAAAUCUUAUUUUCCAUUUUAACGCUUGUUAAAACGAAGAAAAAAUGAAAAAGAAACUGAAAAUGAAUGCAUUGUGAUGUAAAAGAAGCAAUCUGGGAAAAGAAAGGAAAUGCAGCUAAAAAAUAAGCAACCUGGUGAGUUUGUAACUUCUAUAACCAGAUGUGGUUUCAAUUGAUUUCAGUUUCAAAAGGAAGCAAUGUAGUAAGUUGAUAACUUAUAGAACCAGAUGCAGGAUGAAUUGAUUUAAGUUUCAAUACAUAUCCUCAAUUUUAAUUUUUUGGGAAAGUUUCACUACAUAAUCUCCAAUUUAACUCCUGUUGAUAAGAUAAGGAAAAAACAAAAAUACAAAACUGUUGUAGUGUAUCAAAUGCAGCUUUUGCAUGUGAUAAAGAAAGGCAUUGACGGCUAAAAGAAGCAAUCUGGGGUACCAGGACCAAGGGGACAAGGUUGAAUUUUCUGGGCCAUUACUGUCUCAAUCACACAGAGUUGAUGAACUUUUAGAGAAGCAUGAGCGUCACAUCCGCCGGACGGUGCGAAAAUCAUGGUUCCAAAGAGG